RNAcentral lists this ribosomal RNA (323 nucleotides) under uncultured eukaryote. RNAcentral describes it as "partial 18S ribosomal RNA". It matches the Rfam family "Eukaryotic small subunit ribosomal RNA", at positions 1470 to 1796 of the family's 1831-position model. The record is from RNAcentral.
CCCCUAGAUGUUCUGGGCCGCACGCGCGCUACACUGAACAGUUCAACAAGUCUUAACCUUGGCCGAUAGGUCUGGGUAAUCUUUGAACGCUGUUCGUGAUUGGGAUAGACCUUUGCAAUUAUGGGUCUUCAACGAGGAAUUCCUAGUAAACGCAAGUCAUCAGCUUGCAUUGAUUACGUCCCUGCCCUUUGUACACACCGCCCGUCGCACCUACCGAUCGAAGGUAAUGAUGAGCCCUCAGGAUUGUGGCCUCGUCGCGUCAGCGUCUUGGCUGCGAGAAUCUGUGCAAAUCCCUACCUUUAGAGGAAGGUGAAGUCGUANCA